CAAAAAAUAGUUUAACUAAAAUAUUAAUUUUGGAGAUUAAAGAUAUAAAUAUUUUUAUUUUUUUGA
Molecule: transfer RNA, 66 nt
Filed under: Vespula vulgaris
Lineage: Eukaryota; Metazoa; Arthropoda; Insecta; Hymenoptera; Vespidae
Description: tRNA-Pro
Source: RNAcentral